Molecule: ribosomal RNA, 250 nt
Filed under: uncultured bacterium
Lineage: Bacteria
Description: partial 16S ribosomal RNA
Rfam family: Bacterial small subunit ribosomal RNA
Source: RNAcentral
UGGGGAAUAUUGGACAAUGGGCGAAAGCCUGAUCCAGCGACGCCGCGUGUGUGAAGAAGGCCUGCGGGUUGUAAAGCACUUUUAGUGGGGAUGAAAAGCCUAGGGUUAAUAACCUUGGGUCUUGACCUAACCCACAGAAAAAGCACCGGCUAACUCUGUGCCAGCAGCCGCGGUAAUACAGAGGGUGCGAGCGUUAAUCGGAAUCACUGGGCGUAAAGCGUGCGUAGACGGUUAUUUAAGUCGGGUGUGA